RNAcentral lists this ribosomal RNA (279 nucleotides) under Phocaeicola coprocola DSM 17136. RNAcentral's name for it is "partial 16S ribosomal RNA". It matches the Rfam family "Bacterial small subunit ribosomal RNA", at positions 524 to 801 of the family's 1533-position model. Lineage: Bacteria; Pseudomonadati; Bacteroidota; Bacteroidia; Bacteroidales; Bacteroidaceae. The record is from RNAcentral.
UACGGAGGAUGCGAGCGUUAUCCGGAUUUAUUGGGUUUAAAGGGAGCGCAGACGGGAGAUUAAGUCAGUUGUGAAAGUUUGCGGCUCAACCGUAAAAUUGCAGUUGAUACUGGUUUCCUUGAGUGCAGUUGAGGCAGGCGGAAUUCGUGGUGUAGCGGUGAAAUGCUUAGAUAUCACGAAGAACCCCGAUUGCGAAGGCAGCUUGCUAAACUGUAACUGACGUUCAUGCUCGAAAGUGUGGGUAUCAAACAGGAUUAGAUACCCCGGUACUGACUGACU